This is a long non-coding RNA of Eriocheir sinensis (Chinese mitten crab), 694 nucleotides long. RefSeq lists it as uncharacterized. The transcript has 6 exons. The record is from RefSeq and is a predicted model, not a curated record. NCBI's taxonomy places the organism in Eukaryota, Metazoa, Arthropoda, Malacostraca, Decapoda, Varunidae.
CGGCAGAUGCCGUCAGGGCACACCACCACCACAGCCACUCCCGCCAUGAUUCUCACACGACAGUCAGCCUCAUCUAUAAACUGAAAGAGAUGCAGCAACCAGUGUAAGUAGCGCUGCCAAGGGAGCCAUCGUCCAGGCGCGUCGCCGUCCUGGCAUCCUGAGCGUGAAAUAUCGCUCCUUGUAUCAUCACCCUGGUAGCGGCGGCGAGGCGGGACCUUACACAUCAUGAGGCGCCGACCCACACACCUGCCCCCGUGUCGUGAGAACAGAGCCACGCAUCGCCGCAGCAGCAGACCGUGCUAAACACUCCGGGCACCAAGAACUGAUCCGGCCCACCGAGCAUCAGUUCCACUCGCCUUCAAUCUCAAGUCUUCGAGGUAAGAAAACUUCUCCUUUGACAUACAUAAUCUGUUUGCCAUCGACUGUGGUUAAGGAAUUCUUAGUGUGCUGUCUCUGUCCAGGAAAAGAUGCCCUGCUUUGCCUGACCGUCCUCAGCCAUAACCUUAUCUCUGGCGUUACUUAUUGACGCGCUGCCCAGUCCACUUACAACAACUUAGGUAUGCAAACCUCCCUCUUGUGGUCAGCUCGUCAACACGGUGAUGAUAGCGUGUUCUCGUCAGGGGAGGAAGCAACCAUUCAUUACAGCAUUGGUUAUUUUGCAACGCCCAUCUACCUGAUUUUCUCUCUCUCUCUC